CUACGUGCCAGCAGCCGCGGUAAUACGUAGGUGGCAAGCGUUAUCCGGAAUUAUUGGGCAUAAAGGGCAUCUAGGCGGCCAGAUAAGUCUGGGGUGAAAACUUGCGGCUCAACCGCAAGCCUGCCCUGGAAACUAUGUGGCUAGAGUACUGGAGAGGUGGACGGAACUGCACGAGUAGAGGUGAAAUUCGUAGAUAUGUGCAGGAAUGCCGAUGAUGAAGAUAGUUCACUGGACGGUAACUGACGCUGAAGUGCGAAAGCUAGGGGAGCAAACAGGAUUAGAUACCCUGGUAGUCCUAGCUGUAAACGAUGAUUACUGGGUGUGGGCAUGAAGAGUGUCCGUGCCGAAGCUAAUGCGAUAAGUAAUCCGCCUGGGGAGUACGGCCGCAAGGCUGAAACUCAAAGGAAUUGACGGGGACCCGCACAAGCGGUGGAGCAUGUGGUUUAAUUCGACGCAACGCGAGGAACCUUACCAGAUCUUGACAUCCUG
RNAcentral lists this ribosomal RNA (489 nucleotides) under uncultured bacterium. RNAcentral's name for it is "bacterial SSU rRNA". It matches the Rfam family "Bacterial small subunit ribosomal RNA", at positions 501 to 991 of the family's 1533-position model. The record is from RNAcentral.